GAGCCACAAGGGGCAGGAGAGAGGGGCAGGAACAGAGGCACAGCACAAGAACCCAAGGAACAGCCAGCAAAACCAAAGAAAGGCAAGGCUCACGAUCUAAAGCGGGAGCAAAGUGACUGACAGAAACCUCCCUAUAUUUCUGAUGUUGGGCCUGUGCUGGGGAGAAGAAGACAUAAGAGAGGCUUUUUAUUACAGAAGAGGUCAUUGUUCUUGUCUCAGGAACCCCAGACUGUGAGGGUACAGAUGGAGGCUGAGGACUUCCAGCCCUCAGACAGCCUGGGGCCCCACGGAUCCACUGGAUUAUGGGAGCUGCACAUGGUCAGGUUUCUGAUCUGCAAGCAGUAGCAAUCCUGUUGAAGAACUGCAGGCUGACGAGCAGAAGGGACUGUUCGCCAUGCACCACGCCUGAUGGGAAAGCUGCUCUCAAGUCACACUUCAGAUGAGACACAUUUAAAGGCACACAGUGCCUGUGCACAGCACGUGUUAAACACUGGGGGCUUGUGUCUCUCUGCACAAAUCCCAACUGUCCUGCCCACGUAAUGGAGAGCAGAAAUGUGACACUAGAGAAUUGUACUGAAUGCAGAAAGGUACUAAGUUCAAACAGUCACUCUCUGCACAAGUAUGUGGUUUCUUGCAGAAGCAGUUUUAACUCUUUUCCAUAACCUGUGAUCAGAUUCAGCAGGAUGUUCACCCUGCCUUAAUCUCAGGUGUAACUGGAGUACUCCGGCCUGUGCUUGGACUGGCUGUCUCCCCAGAUUACCGGAGUUAAGAGCCUACACUCGUUACUCAGGCUCCAGAGUUAUGGAGCAUCAGUACCCUCCUGUAGGAUUGUGACCCUCCCUCCACACCCAGGCUGAAGUCCCACGGUUCUGCCUACUCUGCUCCCCCCCAUCCUACUCAGGGAAGUCAUCCUGGAAUGGGACCCCAGGUGGCUGUGUCACACCUGCCCCUUGGGACAUGGUUAUAUUUACAGUGAGUGUAUCUCCAAGGGCAGGGAAGCCUCCCGGUAUUUUGAAAGCCACAGCUUUCCACAGGGAAGUGCAGUCAGAUAUUCCCUGCACUGAUAGGUCCCGCAAUGGCAAAGCCCAAAGGGAAAUGAGAUUUGGGAAUUUUACACAGGACUGUGGUCGUCUUUUACUUACACACUCCGAAGCGGUGAUGGUUAACGAGCUGGACAUGAAAGACUGGCCUUCGUUCAAACUCACCAAAACCUCCAGGGUUCUGCAAAGAGAGAGAGAAGAAACAUGAGCAACCAUAUAACAGUCAGGAAGGGCUCACACCUGCUCCAGAGGCUCCUGUAUCUACAGCCUCUGCUCCACAGAGAGUGUCCCCAGACGGGAAAUGGAGGCCUGUGCUCACUCUUGUUUGGGAGUAAGUUUGGUCUCCUUGACAGAGCUAUCUGAGUAGAGAUUAUCUGUUCUCUUUUCCGUGCAGCAUAAAAGACUCGCAAAAGUUUUACAUAAAAUAAAUUGAAGUUCAACUGUAAAAUCAGCAUUGUUUUCUCUGUUCCAUAACCAUCUUUUUAGUCACAUGCAGGCAUUAUGGAUAAAAAUGUCGGAUAAUUAUAAAUGGUCAGGACUUGCUAUAAAUAGCCCCAAACAUUGCAUACAAAUGGUACGUGGUUUACAUUUUACAAAUUAACCCUACAAGAAAACAACACAUGGUGGAUGUUAAACAGAAGAAGACUCCUCUCUGGCUUGGAUUCCCAGGAUUCAGACAGUUUAUAUUAUGCAUAGAUGCAAUUAAAUAAAAAUAUAGAUAUCCAUGAACUAAAAUGAUUAAUCAUUUAUACCAUUCUUACAUGUCAUGAGUUUUUAUUCUGGCACAAACACUUUAGUCAAUAUGGAGUUCAAAGCCAUUUUAACUAAUUUGGCUAAUUUCUUCUUCAUUGGUAGCAAAAAUGAAGUGAGUUGCUUCCACUAAACUAAUUCUUAAAUUAUCUAUGUCAUAAAUAAUUGAUCCAAUGGAAAGAAUAACUCUAAUUUCUUUCUAAUUAUUACUGGAAUAAGUGAAUCAGAACAGAUAAAAAUAAAAAAAAAUCAAAUCUCUUG
Molecule: long non-coding RNA, 2051 nt
Organism: Empidonax traillii (willow flycatcher)
Lineage: Eukaryota; Metazoa; Chordata; Aves; Passeriformes; Tyrannidae
Exons: 3
Source: RefSeq, a predicted model, not a curated record